UGCUUCUGCGAGAAAACAACUGCAUCUGCGCACCCGAACUUGCGGAGGAAAUAUCACACCUGUGACCAAUGCCCGCCCCUGCGCUUCCUUCCAUCGCAGAAGCGACUUCGCUUCAGCGGAGACCUUUCCGCUUCUGCGAUCCCAUCGUGCCCCCACUCACUACUACAUUUGGACUCCUAAGGCCGCACCUACGGCGUUGCUCCUGCGACCAUACCCAUCUGAUGUGCAAUCACACCAGAAGCAACAAUGCUUCAGAAUUCUUAAGGUCUAAUAUUGAUCCGAAUUCAAUUUGAAUCACACCUGGGCCCCCAAAGGGUCAAUCCAAAUAUACCAACAAGUUCUAAAAUACAUAAUGAACUUACUCGAGGCCGAAAAUCAUAUCAAACAACAUCGAUUCUAUGAAUCGCAAUCCAAUUAAGCCUAUUGAAACUAUGAACUUCCAAAUUCAAAAACUAAUGUCGAACCGCACCAUAUCAACA
RNAcentral lists this long non-coding RNA (479 nucleotides) under Nicotiana benthamiana. Its description in RNAcentral is "long non-coding RNA (NBEN_LNC017354)". The record is from RNAcentral. Lineage: Eukaryota; Viridiplantae; Streptophyta; Magnoliopsida; Solanales; Solanaceae.